This 2919-nucleotide ribosomal RNA is filed under the name Escherichia coli. RNAcentral describes it as "23S ribosomal RNA". It matches the Rfam family "Bacterial large subunit ribosomal RNA". Lineage: Bacteria; Pseudomonadati; Pseudomonadota; Gammaproteobacteria; Enterobacterales; Enterobacteriaceae. The record is from RNAcentral.
GGGUUGUGAGGUUAAGCGACUAAGCGUACACGGUGGAUGCCCUGGCAGUCAGAGGCGAUGAAGGACGUGCUAAUCUGCGAUAAGCGUCGGUAAGGUGAUAUGAACCGUUAUAACCGGCGAUUUCGAAUGGGGAAACCCAGUGUGAUUCGUCACACUAUCAUUAACUGAAUCCAUAGGUUAAUGAGGGCGAACCGGGGGAACUGAAACAUCUAAGUACCCCGAGGAAAAGAAAUCAACCGAGAUUCCCCCAGUAGCGGCGAGCGAACGGGGAGCAGCCCAGAGCCUGAAUCAGUGUGUGUGUUAGUGGAAGCGUCUGGAAAGGCGCGCGAUACAGGGUGACAGCCCCGUACACAAAAAUGCACAUGCUGUGAGCUCGAUGAGUAGGGCGGGACACGUGGUAUCCUGUCUGAAUAUGGGGGACCAUCCUCCAAGGCUAAAUACUCUGACUGACCGAUAGUGAACCAGUACCGUGAGGGAAAGGCGAAAAGAACCCCGGCGAGGGGAGUGAAAAAGAACCUGAAACCGUGUACGUACAAGCAGUGGGAGCACGCUUCGGCGUGUGACUGCGUACCUUUGUAUAAUGGGUCAGCGACUUAUAUUCUGUAGCAAGGUUAACCGAAUAGGGAGCCGAAGGGAAACCGAGUCUUAACUGGGCGUUAAGUUGCAGGGUAUAGACCCGAAACCCGGUGAUCUAGCCAUGGGCAGGUUGAAGGUUGGGUAACACUAACUGGAGGACCGAACCGACUAAUGUUGAAAAAUUAGCGGAUGACUUGUGGCUGGGGGUGAAAGGCCAAUCAAACCGGGAGAUAGCUGGUUCUCCCCGAAAGCUAUUUAGGUAGCGCCUCGUGAAUUCAUCUCCGGGGUAGAGCACUGUUUCGGCAAGGGGGUCAUCCCGACUUACCAACCCGAUGCAAACUGCGAAUACCGGAGAAUGUUAUCACGGGAGACACACGGCGGGUGCUAACGUCCGUCGUGAAGAGGGAAACAACCCAGACCGCCAGCUAAGGUCCCAAAGUCAUGGUUAAGUGGGAAACGAUGUGGGAAGGCCCAGACAGCCGAGGAUGUUGGCUUAGAAGCAGCCAUCAUUUAAAGAAAGCGUAAUAGCUCACUGGUCGAGUCGGCCUGCGCGGAAGAUGUAACGGGGCUAAACCAUGCACCGAAGCUGCGGCAGCGACACUAUGUGUUGUUGGGUAGGGGAGCGUUCUGUAAGCCUGUGAAGGUGUACUGUGAGGUAUGCUGGAGGUAUCAGAAGUGCGAAUGCUGACAUAAGUAACGAUAAAGCGGGUGAAAAGCCCGCUCGCCGGAAGACCAAGGGUUCCUGUCCAACGUUAAUCGGGGCAGGGUGAGUCGACCCCUAAGGCGAGGCCGAAAGGCGUAGUCGAUGGGAAACAGGUUAAUAUUCCUGUACUUGGUGUUACUGCGAAGGGGACGGAGAAGGCUAUGUUGGUAGGGCGACGGUUGUCCCGGUUUAAGCGUGUAGGCUGGUUUUCCAGGCAAAUCCGGAAAAUCAAGGCUGAGGCGUGAUGACGAGGCACUACGGUGCUGAAGCAACAAAUGCCCUGCUUCCAGGAAAAGCCUCUAAGCAUCAGGUAACAUCAAAUCGUACCCCAAACCGACACAGGUGGUCAGGUAGAGAAUACCAAGGCGCUUGAGAGAACUCGGGUGAAGGAACUAGGCAAAAUGGUGCCGUAACUUCGGGAGAAGGCACGCUGAUAUGUAGGUGAAGCGACUUGCUCGUGGAGCUGAAAUCAGUCGAAGAUACCAGCUGGCUGCAACUGUUUAUUAAAAACACAGCACUGUGCAAACACGAAAGUGGACGUAUACGGUGUGACGCCUGCCCGGUGCCGGAAGGUUAAUUGAUGGGGUUAGCGGUAACGCGAAGCUCUUGAUCGAAGCCCCGGUAAACGGCGGUAGUAACUAUAACGGUCCUAAGGUAGCGAAAUUCCUUGUCGGGUAAGUUCCGACCUGCACGAAUGGCGUAAUGAUGGCGGGGGCUGUCUCCACCCGAGACUCAGUGAAAUUGAACUCGCUGUGAAGAUGCAGUGUACCCGCGGCAAGACGGAAAGACCCCGUGAACCUUUACUAUAGCUUGACACUGAACAUUGAGCCUUGAUGUGUAGGAUAGGUGGGAGGCUUUGAAGUGUGGACGCCAGUCUGCAUGGAGCCGACCUUGAAAUACCACCCUUUAAUGUUUGAUGUUCUAACGUUGACCCGUGAUCCGGGUUGCGGACAGUGUCUGGUGGGUAGUUUGACUGGGGCGGUCUCCUCCUAAAGAGUAACGGAGGAGCACGAAGGUUGGCUAAUCCUGGUCGGACAUCAGGAGGUUAGUGCAAUGGCAUAAGCCAGCUUGACUGCGAGCGUGACGGCGCGAGCAGGUGCGAAAGCAGGUCAUAGUGAUCCGGUGGUUCUGAAUGGAAGGCCAUCGCUCAACGGAUAAAAGGUACUCCGGGGAUAACAGGCUGAUACCGCCCAAGAGUUCAUAUCGACGGCGGUGUUUGGCACCUCGAUGUCGGCUCAUCACAUCCUGGGGCUGAAGUAGGUCCCAAGGGUAUGGCUGUUCGCCAUUUAAAGUGGUACGCGAGCUGGGUUUAGAACGUCGUGAGACAGUUCGGUCCCUAUCUGCCGUGGGCGCUGGAGAACUGAGGGGGGCUGCUCCUAGUACGAGAGGACCGGAGUGGACGCAUCACUGGUGUUCGGGUUGUCAUGCCAAUGGCACUGCCCGGUAGCUAAAUGCGGAAGAGAUAAGUGCUGAAAGCAUCUAAGCACGAAACUUGCCCCGAGAUGAGUUCUCCUGACUCCUUGAGAGUCCUGAAGGAACGUUGAAGACGACGACGUUGAUAGGCCGGGUGUGUAAGCGCAGCGAUGCGUUGAGCUAACCGGUACUAAUGAACCGUGAGGCUUAACCUUACAACGCCGAAG